AUGCUCGCUUUGGCAGCAUAUAUACUAAAAUUGAAGCAAUACAGAAGAUUAGCAUGGUCCCUGCACAAGGAUGACACGCAAAUUCCUGAAGCAUUCCAAAUUAAA
Zalophus californianus (California sea lion) is the source of this 105-nucleotide small nuclear RNA. Lineage: Eukaryota; Metazoa; Chordata; Mammalia; Carnivora; Otariidae. The record is from Ensembl.